ACAACGGCAGAUUUGGAACAACAAUUUACAAUGAAUCAGAACUAAUUAAAUCAUCGAAGAGAAGUGCUAAAAUUUCAAAAUACUCGAGCGUUUGACGUAAUAACCGGUGUUUUCUUAUGAUGUGGUCUACCGCAGCCCACAGAUGAAGUUAAAUACGUGUCCGUGUAGUGUAUUUGCUUGCGGCGCCUGUCAAUUCAAUUUAGCCGCAAUUGUUUGAUAUGUGUAAACUAUAAUGUUACAAGAAUACAUGUGAAUACGCAACCCUGAUACCAGUAAUCUCACCACAAGCCUUCACACACAAAUGUCGCCGUACAAACCACCUGGAACAAAGCCACCGAAUCACUACGAUUGGGUUCAAGUAGUAAAAAUCAGCAAUCAAUUCGUAAUCUUUUACAAUACUAUUGGUAUAGCCCGUCGUCUAUUACAUUGUUUACGUACAAUACGAACACUGUGGAUGAUCGAGGGAUAUUUAAAUAUUUGUCGAUGUAGAUCACGCUAUACCUACUACGAUCAGACCACGAGUUGUGUCUAGAUACCCCGAACCUUAGUCUACUGCUGUCGCGAUCAGCUUUGUUGUUAUUACUAAUAGCCUAUUGACGUCACGAAAUCCCGAGUAUGUAAAAAUACCUGUACGUAUUCUUGGGGUGUGGGAGUUCCGUUUGAUUGACAGCUGGAAAAUACUAGUCAUUGAUAAGUAGGGUUAUGGUUUUAACGUUACCCUGCUACUUCAAAAACACACCAAAACUUCCGAGUCCUAUUACACGUGUGUAUUUAAAUACAGGAUCGUAGCAUCAUGUUGGUUAUUUUACGUUUGCUUUCUUAACAGACAGGUCGUACCUUACUGAUUUUAUUUAACUAUUUACGACUGGUGUAUUGCUCUUUGUUUGAAUGGUCCAACAACUGCAAGCCCUUACUUAGAUCCCUUGGGCAAACGUCACGUUUCAGUCGGUACUGAGAGUCCUUGGGACCGACCUUUGUAUUCAGUAUGCGGGGUAAACUGCUGCUAGCUGGUGGCAAACCCACUGCCUGGACUCACAAUACUAGUUAUGUUGGUGUAUCAAGAAUCCACAGUGAAACCAGUCCUCCAGCCUUAGGACGUCGAAGGAAAGAAGAUCGCGAAUUUAAGGAAAUAUUAGGUGCCAUAGAAAACAUGCAUCGUAAAGAUAUGCAAUCGUUUACCACCAACCGAAAAUAUCUGGAGAAGUCCAUGCUCGCAUACAGUGAGCGGAUGAGGGAACUUAACAAAGGGAGACGAUCCCUUCCUGUUAUCAUCACACCAGCUUCCGGUGAGAAACCAGUCCUUCCAAAGAAAUUUUCCAAUACCAUUCGACCGGAUGUUGCAUCUCCUGCAUCAGACUUACUCGGAAGCUCUCGGGAAUCUUUUAUGUCUUCGAAUGGUCAUCUGCAUUCUCCA
Molecule: long non-coding RNA, 1414 nt
Organism: Mizuhopecten yessoensis (Yesso scallop)
Lineage: Eukaryota; Metazoa; Mollusca; Bivalvia; Pectinida; Pectinidae
Exons: 3
Source: RefSeq, a predicted model, not a curated record